ACGAAUACCGAAGAAUGUUAUCACGGGAGACACGGCGGGUGCUACGUCCGUCGUGAAAGAAACAGACCGCCAGCUAAGGUCCCAAAGUCAUGGUUAAGUGGGAAACGAUGUGAAGGCACAGACAGCCGGAUGUUGGCUUAGAAGCAGCCAUCAUUUAAAAGAAAGCGUAAUAGCUCACUGGUCGAGUCGGCCUGCGCGGAGAUGUAACGGGGCCAUGCACCGAAGCUGCGGCAGCGACACUAUGUGUUGUUGGGUAGGGGAGCGUUCUGUAAGCCUGCGAAGGUGUGCUGUGAGGCGGUAUCAGAAGUGCGAAUGCUGACAUAAGUAACGAUAAAGCGGGUGAAAAGCCCGCUCGCCGGAAGACCAAGGGUUCCUGUCCAACGUUAAUCGGGGCAGGGUGAGUCGACCCCUGGGCGAGGCCGAAAGGCGUAGUCGAUGGGAAACAGGUUAAUAUUCCUGUACUUGGUGUUACUGCGAAGGACGGGAAGGCUAUGUUAGCCGGGCGACGGUUGUCCCGGUUUAAGCAUGUAGGCUGGUUGUCCAGCAAAUCCGGAUAAUCAAGGCUGAGGUGUGAUGACGAGGCACUACGGUGCUGAAGUAACAAAUGCCCUGCUUCCGGGAAAGCCUCUAAGCAUCAGGUAACAUCAAAUCGUACCCAAACCGACACAGGUGGUCAGGUAGAGAAUAAAGGCGCUUGAGAGAACUCGGUGAAGGAACUAGGCAAAAUGGUGCCGUAACUUCGGGAGAAGGCACGCUGGUGUGUAGGUGAAGCCCCUGCGGGUGGAGCUGAGACCAGUCGAAGAUACCAGCUGGCUGCAACUGUUUAUUAAAAACACAGCACUGUGCAAACACGAAAGUGGACGUAUACGGUGUGACGCCUGCCCGGUGCCGGAAGGUUAAUUGAUGGGGUUAUCCGUAAGGAGAAGCUCUUGAUCGAAGCCCCGGUAAACGGCGGCCGUAACUAUAACGGUCCUAAGGUAGCGAAAUUCCUUGUCGGGUAAGUUCCGACCUGCACGAAUGGCGUAAUGAUGGCCGGGCUGUCUCCCCCGAGACUCAGUGAAAUUGAACUCGCUGUGAAGAUGCAGUGUACCCGCGGCAAGACCCCGUGAACCUUUACUAUAGCUUGACACUGAACAUUGAGCCUUGAUGUGUAGGAUAGGUGGGAGGCUUUGAAGCGUGGACGCCAGUGCGUGGAGCCAACCUUGAAAUACCACCCUUUAAUGUUUGAUGUUCUAACGUUGGCCCCUUACCGGGGUUGCGGACAGUGUCUGGUGGGUAGUUUGACUGGGGCGGUCUCCUCCCAAAGCGUAACGGAGGAGCACGAAGGUUAGCUAAUCUGGUCGGACAUCAGGAGGUUAGUGCAAUGGCAUAAGCUAGCUUGACUGCGAGCGUGACGGCGCGAGCAGGUGCGAAAGCAGGUCAUAGUGAUCCGGUGGUUCUGAAUGGAAGGGCCAUCGCUCAACGGAUAAAGGUACUCCGGGGAUAACAGGCUGAUACCGCCCAAGAGUUCAUAUCGACGGCGGUGUUUGGCACCUCGAUGUCGGCUCAUCACAUCACGGGCUGAAGUAGGUCCCAAGGGUAUGGCUGUUCGCCAUUUAAAGUGGUACGCGAGCUGGGUUUAGAACGUCGUGAGACAGUUCGGUCCCUAUCUGCCGUGGGCGCUGGAGAAUUGCUGCUCCUAGUACGAGAGGACCGGAGUGGACGCAUCACUGGUGUUCGGGUUGUCAUGCCAAUGGCACUGCCCGGUAGCUAAAUGCGGAAGAGAUAAGUGCUGAAAGCAUCUAAGCACGAAACUUUGAGAUGAGUUCUCCCUGAGACUUUAAGUCUCCUGAAGGAACGUUAAAGACGAUGACCGGGUGUGUAAGCGCAGCGAUGCGUUGAGCUAACCGGUACUAAUGAACCGUGAGGCUUAACCUU
This 1917-nucleotide ribosomal RNA is filed under the name Klebsiella pneumoniae. RNAcentral describes it as "partial 23S ribosomal RNA". It matches the Rfam family "Bacterial large subunit ribosomal RNA", at positions 956 to 2925 of the family's 2925-position model. The record is from RNAcentral. Lineage: Bacteria; Pseudomonadati; Pseudomonadota; Gammaproteobacteria; Enterobacterales; Enterobacteriaceae.